This 539-nucleotide ribosomal RNA is filed under the name Listeria monocytogenes. RNAcentral describes it as "partial 23S ribosomal RNA". It matches the Rfam family "Bacterial large subunit ribosomal RNA", at positions 1 to 525 of the family's 2925-position model. Lineage: Bacteria; Bacillati; Bacillota; Bacilli; Caryophanales; Listeriaceae. The record is from RNAcentral.
AGUAAAUUGGUUAAGUUAGAAAGGGCGCACGGUGGAUGCCUUGGCACUAGGAGCCGAAGAAGGACGGGACUAACACCGAUAUGCUUUGGGGAGCUGUACGUAAGCGUUGAUCCAGAGAUUUCCGAAUGGGGGAACCCACUAUCUUUAGUCGGAUAGUAUCCUUACGUGAAUACAUAGCGUGAGGAAGGCAGACCCAGGGAACUGAAACAUCUAAGUACCUGGAGGAAGAGAAAGAAAAAUCGAUUUCCUGAGUAGCGGCGAGCGAAACGGAAAGAGCCCAAACCAAGAAGCUUGCUUCUUGGGGUUGUAGGACACUCUAUACGGAGUUACAAAAGAAAGUUAUAAAUGAAGCGGUCUGGAAAGGCCCGCCAAAGACGGUAACAGCCCGGUAGUUGAAAUAGCUUUCCCUCCAGAGUGGAUCCUGAGUACGGCGGAACACGUGAAAUUCCGUCGGAAUCCGGGAGGACCAUCUCCCAAGGCUAAAUACUCCCUAGUGACCGAUAGUGAACCAGUACCGUGAGGGAAAGGUGAAAAGCACC